AAAGCAGGUUGCAAUUACAGUGCUUCAUGUCUGUGGAAGUACUGCCAUUACCCUGCUGAGAGAAAACCUGUGUCAAUC
Molecule: small nucleolar RNA, 78 nt
Filed under: Erinaceus europaeus (western European hedgehog)
Lineage: Eukaryota; Metazoa; Chordata; Mammalia; Eulipotyphla; Erinaceidae
Description: Small nucleolar RNA SNORA69 (ENSEEUG00000016429.1)
Rfam family: Small nucleolar RNA SNORA69
About the family: U69 is a member of the H/ACA class of small nucleolar RNAs (snoRNAs) which act as guides in the the modification of uridines to pseudouridines.
Source: RNAcentral